This is a long non-coding RNA of Homo sapiens (human), 1455 nucleotides long. Ensembl annotates it as deleted in lymphocytic leukemia 1. Its record names the gene DLEU1. The record is from Ensembl. Lineage: Eukaryota; Metazoa; Chordata; Mammalia; Primates; Hominidae.
GCACAUGCGCAGAAUCAUCGUGGUGCACGGCUCUCCCUUUGCUUCUUCGGUUGCAGUCCUCUUGCUUCUUGCGCGUGCGUGUAGCGCUUUUGCAAAGCCGCGGAGGUGAAGUGAACUUAGAGGUUGUGGGGCCGAGGGGUCGUCUUAUAGCUACCAGCCCACAGGCAUUUAGUCUACGUUGGAGGUAAACAAAUACGGGUCCUGCUUAGGAGAAAAGAAAAACGUCUUACAGCCAGUGUCUAAACUCCAAACAACGGAAUGUAUCAAUGAGACCUUGUAUAUGGAUACACGUGCAUUUAAAACCGCCCUGCCGGCUUGUAGAGCUUUUGCCGUUCUCCAGCGCUUUACAGGGGUUAUCGCACUUAAGCCUCGGAACAACUUUACCAGAUGAGGACACCUGAGGUUCAGAUUAAGAAAUCUGCCCCAAAGUCUUAGAACUGGUAUUCUCCACUGGUUGAAUGCAAAUGGAAGCCAGAGGAAAAGGGAACCCUUGACACAGUUUUCAUAUAGAUUGGCCUCCAGGGCAGACAGCAGGAGUGGGGUUUAAUCUGGACUGAAUUGGAGGAAAGGAACUGGCACCAGAGUGGAGGCUGGAAGGAUGGUGGAACUGACACUGGGACAGAACACAGAAAACAGAAUCUAAUGCUAUUGCUCUGGCUAUAUCAAAUAAAAGUGUCAAGAGUGAGCAUCCUUGCCUUGUGCUGAAUCACAAAGGAAUACCUUUCAGUUUUUCUCCAUUGAUUAUGAUAGCAGUGGGCUUUUCACAGUGGGCUUUACUGUGUUGAGGAGGAGGUCUGAUGGCCGGGAGGACAGGAAGAAGGAACCCACAAUGAAGCAAAAGUUGCGUUUAACUCUGUCCUCACCAUUCCUCUCCUGGACCUGUCCUAAACUGGAAGCUGGGGGAGGAUGGAGUGCUGGAAUGCUGCAGAAGUCUCAUGGGAGGGCGCCUGGUGUUCACCACAUGUGUACACUGUUGCACGACCAGGUUGGCACUUUGCAUGUGGGAAACGAUCAGAGAAUGGUGGGGGAUGCUUAAGAGGCAUCACUGGAAUCCUACGGUACCACAGACCAGAGCCUUCCCUUCCCUUCCUCUCCCACAGAUGGAAAUUUGAAUGCUGGGGCUCAGUGGAACACCUGAAGGAAGCUGGUGAGGCAGAUGUCCCGCUAUGCCUUCCAAGUGUCAUGCAACCAGUUCAUGCCUGUCAGCAUCUCUGCCGGUGGACUCUGUGAGUCAGCAAAUCUACAGAGCAGAGAGCCACAAGUGGGGACAGAUGUGGUCAAAUGCCAUUUAAAUCAGUGAUUCUCAACCCAGGAGUUGUCAUGGCACUGGCCUUGAGUGAGCUGGACCAAGGGAAGUGGUAGAAUUCCCCAUGAAGGACCAAGUGAGCAGAUAGAAGUUUCUCCAUUUUAACUUUUUCUGAGUCAAUUUAAAAAACACCUAGUGCCUUUUUCUGU